RNAcentral lists this long non-coding RNA (611 nucleotides) under Elaeis guineensis (African oil palm). RNAcentral describes it as "long non-coding RNA (EGUI_LNC026734)". The record is from RNAcentral. Lineage: Eukaryota; Viridiplantae; Streptophyta; Magnoliopsida; Arecales; Arecaceae.
CGGAUGUUUUCAUGCAAGACUGCUUAUUCUCAGAUUUGAUUAUCAAAUUCACUAAGCAGGAUCUCUCGCAUACGUACAUUAUAUGAAGCUUUGUCCCACUGACUUGUUUCCCUCACACUUAAUAAUUAUAAAAAUGAGUUAAUAACCAUGGACACACAGAAAGCAGUGUGAAAGGGAGACUGAGGAAAAAGCGAAUAGACAUCUAGCAAAGGAAUAUGGAAGAGUGGCUCCACCAUGUGUGAUGUUACGGAAGCAUGUGAGGAUUUUUUUGGCUGUCCUCGGAAAACCAUGCUAAGGAAAAAGAUAAGGAUAAAUUGAUCCACCCCUUCACAAUAUGGAAGGGAUAUUCUCUGAAUUAAGUUGCUCUCCAAUAUAUUGCUGCAUGCUGGCGGACACCGAGUUUUAAUUAAUCCAAAGGUGGAUGAGAUUGUGACCGUUUAAUAUCAAGUAACCACUCAUUCUCAGCCUUGCUGAAGGCUACAAGGUAUUAUCUGCAAUCUCUUCAUUUAAAGAAAAGGACACUCUACAAAUGUCUCUCUUGGUCAUGACUAGUUUCUCAAUCUGUUCUCAUAUCCUCCCAAUUUGUUACUUAAUUUUGUUACGAACUCUCC